GAUUGCUGGACGCAGGCUAAAAAGAGAUUAGUCUGUAAAAGGAAGCAUUUUGGAAAUGAUUGAGACCAUCUGCGGCCUGUUCCCUGGUGCAGCUCUGUACAUGGUGUUCUGAGCAGGAAGCCUCUCCACGAAACCAGGUAAGGACCUGAGGCUUCUCAUCAGUUCCAGUCCCCAGCAUCGCAGGGGCAAGUGUAUGGCUCAGCUCAUCUAGCCCCUGGCAUUGUUCUGGAAGCUCUGGGUGAGAGCUUUGCCAUGCCUGGGGGUCUGGGGGCUAUUUCAUCCAUCCCUCCACAUCACGGAAACAUUGCUUUUAAUUAGUCCUGAGAGAUGGACAUGCCACCUAGCCGUGCUGGCUGGGGAAUCCCUCUGUGAAAGAUACAAGUGACACCUAUGGAAGGUCUAAGAGAGUAAAAGAAAAUCCAGAAAGUGCUGCAAGCUGAAUUGUUCUAAAUUGCAGUAAAUACUCCGCAGCCUCUGAGGUUGGAGAGACACAGAGAGAAUCACUGUGUGCUCAGGUAAAGGAGGAAAUGUGGGACACUGAAAAGCCUAUUUGAUGGGGAAGAGCUGGUAACUGAGACAGGCAAUUCUGGAAAUGCUCAACCGGACCAGAAAACUCAAAACUACAGCUGGUAGAGAUCUUUGUGACAAAAACCCCUUUUCAUUGACAAACGGGACAUUUUGUGGGGACAAAUGAUUGCUGUAAAAUUUUUUCAUUUCUUGAUGACAUUUCAAAUGAAAAUUUUUGCAAGACUUUUUGAAAGUUCUGAAAAAUGUCACCAAAAAUGAUGGGCGGGAGAAGGGAAAGAGAAUCUUACCAAGAAGAAGGGGGGAAAAAAAGAAAAAUUUCCAAAAAUUGGUUAUACAAAACUUUGAUUCAAAUUUUUCAUGCCCCCCCACUAAAACAAAACCCAAACCAGAAUUUCUGAACCAAACAAAAAGUCUUCAUUUAAAAUAUACAUCUUGUGUGCAAGAAAAGAGGAUCAUUUGAGCAGCUGUAUUCAAACCAAUGUUUGCAAAGGUUGGAACAGUGGUUUCCUUCAGUCUGUGCUGUCUGCUGAGGGAGGCAAGCUAAUGAGAAGAGAAACCAUUCUGCUAGAGACGUGAUCAGGCAGCAAAUGUGCCCAUCUUGCCCAGGGAAAGUCUCAAAAUGUGAGGGGGAGAAAGGCAACAUGGGGUUCUCUGAGUCGAAGGUCCCUGUGUCUCUCACAGUCCUCAGUUAGCAACAAUCUCCAGUAAGUGCAGCUCUGCCGCACUAAUUCCAACCUGUGCAGCUGGGAUCCGCUUUCACUCAGGUCCUCACAUCCUCGAACUAGAGCUGGUUGAAAUUUUUCAAACAAAAAUUUUUCCCACCAAAAAGUGGGCUUUCAUUGAAAAAAUAUUUUUUUAAGUGGGAAAAUGGCAUUUUCAAUUAAAAUGAUCUGUUUUUACAAGAGGAACCUUCACAUCUUGGCCAAAAUUUACAUUUAAUUUUGAAUUGCAGUUUUUGGGGUUGGGUUUUCUUUUUUGAAACUCAAAAAGUUUUGAUUUUCAACUUUUGUUUCUCCUACACCUUUUUUUUAACUCUUCUCUUUCUUUUCCACUGAAAAAGGUGUGGGAGGGUCUGAGAAAAUGAGGAAAAAAGCCAUUUAUACCUACAAAAAAGUUCUCAAUUUCCCUCCGUAUUUUUGCCCACCCCCGCAUCUCUGCCGCCUUUUCCCUAAAUCCCCGACCUGAAAUUCAAAACUCCCAAACGUACGGCUUUUCAAAAAACAAAACUCAAUUUGAAACAAAAAUGUUCAGUUUGCUUAAAAAUUCCCCGUGAAAACUCAAAACAUGGAGCAUGAAUUGUUUUGUGCAAAAUCUGUUGGAAUAUUCAGACGUAGCCUUUGGGCUCAUGGAAGCUGUAUCAGACCCAAGCCCCCAGAAACCAAGAGUGGGAUAGAAGCAUCAGCCAUUGCUUCACCGUUGUAAUAGAAAAACCCUGGGAGACCAAUGAGGGACAUGCGACCAGAUUCGGCUCUAGCAUACAUGAGUGCAAUACUUGGGGAAGUAAAUAGGAGUUGUGUUUGCGUACAUAUACCACGCCUAGCUAGACAGACAGUCCCUAGGCACCUUCACUCAGCCACCGUUGGCCAGAUGAUCAUCUCUUCCCUCCCCAUCCAUUAAUAACGUCCGGUGCCAUUUCAAACAUAGGCUAACCAGGGACCUCUGAGUAUAUGAUUUAGUUGGGGUUGAUCCUGCGUUGAGCAGAGGGUUGGACUAGAUGACCUCCUGAGGUCCCUUCCAACCCUAAUCUAUGAUUCUAUGAAGACACACACAUGGGGUGCAAUCAUGGCCCCACUGAAAUUACUGGGAGUUCUGCAGUGGACUCAGCACUAACAUCACAGUAUUGUUCUUCAGAAAGUGGGUUUGAAUAAGAUCUGGCUGAAUAGCAAACAAACUGAUUCCUGAGCUUUUAACCCAGACACAAGCUCUGAGUCUGAUGCACUCUGGUUGGUGGGGUUAUGUUAUUUGCUGUCCAUUAACAGCUCUGAGCAACAGUUUUUGUUCAAAUCUUUUUUCAAGAAAAUAUAGCUGCUUUUCAAAACAAAAAUGUUCACAAAAAGCUUUGCAUAUUUUUGAAUUUUUCUGUUUUUUCAUUAAAACAAAAAUGUUUGGAAUUUUGAGGGGUCAUUGGGCAUUUAUUCCCCUUUUUCCCCCCUUUCCUUUUUGGCCACUGAAUGUAAUGAAUAAACAAAAAUAAAUAAAUAAAACUUGAAUGAUGUCCAGGUCCCCCCCCCCUCCAUUUUUGACACUCGAUAACUUUGCACAAAUGUUUUGAACUUAGGAAAAAGUACAGAAUGGCAAAAGGAAAAAUGAAGAAAAGAGGAAGAAAAAUCAAAAUGUAAAGAACCUCUCCAUCCCCACCCAGAACAAUGCUGAACAUCAUUCAUUCUAUUGCAAUGAGAAGUAAAACGGAAAAAGAAAAAAACUAAGUAUAAAAAGGCAAAAAACAAAAAUUCCUCAACAUUUUUCACAAAGAGUGUAACCACCCACGAGGCCCUGCCCCUUCCCCCAAGGCCCCGCCCCUGCUCCGCCUCUUCCCCCUAAGGCCCUGCCCCUUCUCUGACUCUUCCCUUGAGGCCCCGCCCCUUCUCUCCUUCCCCCAAGGCCCCGCUCCCAUCACUUGCUCCUCUCCCUCCCUCCCUCUAUCACUCGCUGGAUCAUCUCAAGCAGCCUGCCCGUAGGUAGGCGGCAGCCCAGGCUGAGCAAGGGCUGGCAUGGGUUAAUGACCCGGCGCCUCCCCCCACUCUGUGGUAACUGAACUUAUGGUUCAGGUACCAUUUAGGGUUUCCAGGUCCCCUUUUCAACUGGACUUUCCAGUCGAAAACCGUGCACCUGGCAAAGCCUAAAUGGCACCUGGACACAGAAGCCAAAAACAGACUGUCCAGGUAAAAUCCGUACAGCUGGCAACCCUACCUGCUAUUCAUUGCUAGGGUGACCAGAUGGUAACUUGAAAACAUCGGGACCGCCGCAGGGGGAGCGCCUUCAGCGGCAAUUCGGCAGAGGGUCCUUCAGUCGCUGACAGUCUUCGGCGGCAGGUAAUAAACCUUGCCACCAAAUACAGAAGUACCCACCGCCGAAAUGUCGCCGAAGACCGUCAGCGACUGAAGGCCCCUCCGCCGAAUUGCUGCCGAAGACCCGGACGGGUGAAUGUAAAAAAAA
Molecule: long non-coding RNA, 3684 nt
Organism: Chrysemys picta bellii (western painted turtle)
Lineage: Eukaryota; Metazoa; Chordata; Testudines; Emydidae
Source: RefSeq, a predicted model, not a curated record